Molecule: non-coding RNA, 78 nt
Organism: Schistosoma mansoni
Lineage: Eukaryota; Metazoa; Platyhelminthes; Trematoda; Strigeidida; Schistosomatidae
Source: Rfam
AGCUUUCUGAAUCCAUGCAGAGUUUUUGUUAGGCACCAACCCAAUAGUGCUGAUCAGACUUCCAAGAUAAGUGAAGUU